RNAcentral lists this ribosomal RNA (468 nucleotides) under uncultured bacterium. RNAcentral's name for it is "partial 16S ribosomal RNA". It matches the Rfam family "Bacterial small subunit ribosomal RNA", at positions 28 to 507 of the family's 1533-position model. The record is from RNAcentral.
GACGAACGCUGGCGGCGUGCUUAACACAUGCAAGUCGAACGGAAAGGCCCUGCUUUUGUGGGGUGCUCGAGUGGCGAACGGGUGAGUAACACGUGAGUAACCUGCCCUUGACUUUGGGAUAACUUCAGGAAACUGGGGCUAAUACCGGAUAGGAGCUCCUGCUGCAUGGUGGGGGUUGGAAAGUUUCGGCGGUUGGGGAUGGACUCGCGGCUUAUCAGCUUGUUGGUGGGGUAGUGGCUUACCAAGGCUUUGACGGGUAGCCGGCCUGAGAGGGUGACCGGCCACAUUGGGACUGAGAUACGGCCCAGACUCCAACGGGAGGCAGCAGUGGGGAAUAUUGCACAAUGGGCGGAAGCCUGAUGCAGCAACGCCGCGUGCGGGAUGACGUCCUUCGGGUUGUAAACCGCUUUCGCCUGUGACGAAGCGUGAGUGACGGUAAUGGGUAAAGAAGCACCGGCUAACUACGUG